CCGCCAAGAAAUUAUUUUCCAACAUUAUUUUCAGUCCAAACCGCUGGCGGUUUGCAAAGCUUUUAUUUUGAAGGUGGUCAACGGGGCUCGUUGUCGGCAGAUUUCCGUCAUGCAGAGUAUCAACAAUUGGUGGCUUGAUAGCAGUACGGUCCUGGGGCGCGUUGAGGGAUAGACAACCCUUGACGAAAUUCUCCUGAAUUUGUCUUCAACGUGCUCAAGCCUCCACCCGGGGCGUCCACAAUCAUCUCGCUGGACGAAAACAUCUUUCGUUGAAGCUUCCUGUCCGAUUAAAGUCGUCUCGGUGGACAUUGGUGUUUCUCGGCCUAGUUUAGCUUCGGUUAGCUUGCUAGCCGCUAACAAAGAGGCCCUCGUGCUCAAUACAUCGCUGCACGGAGAUGGUAAGCGUAAAGUGUUGUCGCAAUUUUCGCACCAUGUGCACAAGAAGGACAUCAGAAUACGAGGAGGAACUUUGUGAAGAAAAAGAGGACCACAAGGGACAACGUCAACUGCUGGACGCCAUUCGCAGGAUGCAGCCAAGAAUUGUUCUUCACAGAUUAGGUUGGGUCACGCUGUUCGUCUCACUUGUUUCGUACUCUUUCUGAACAUCCUUCACAUGCUGUUUUUCUUGUCCGCAGUGUGUGUGUGUAUAUGUAGAUAUAUAUCGAGUUCAAGU
Long non-coding RNA from Hippocampus comes (tiger tail seahorse), 673 nucleotides. RefSeq lists it as uncharacterized. The record is from RefSeq and is a predicted model, not a curated record. NCBI's taxonomy places the organism in Eukaryota, Metazoa, Chordata, Actinopteri, Syngnathiformes, Syngnathidae. The transcript is spliced from 3 exons.